This 526-nucleotide ribosomal RNA is filed under the name uncultured bacterium. RNAcentral describes it as "partial 16S ribosomal RNA". It matches the Rfam family "Bacterial small subunit ribosomal RNA", at positions 355 to 893 of the family's 1533-position model. The record is from RNAcentral.
UGGGGAAUAUUGCACAAUGGGCGAAAGCCUGAUGCAGCAACGCCGCGUGAGUGAUGAAGGCCUUCGGGUUGUAAAGCUCUGUCUUUUGGGACGAUAAUGACGGUACCAAAGGAGGAAGCCACGGCUAACUACGUGCCAGCAGCCGCGGUAAUACGUAGGUGGCAAGCGUUGUCCGGAUUUACUGGGCGUAAAGGAUGCGUAGGCGGAUUUUUAAGUGAGAUGUGAAAUACCCGGGCUUAACUUGGGUGCUGCAUUUCAAACUGGGAAUCUAGAGUGCGGGAGAGGGAGAAUGGAAUUCCUAGUGUAGCGGUGAAAUGCGUAGAGGAUUAGGAAGAACACCAGUGGCGAAAGGCGAUUCUCUGGACCGUAACUGACGCUGAGGCAUGAAAGCGUGGGUAGCAAACAGGAUUAGAUACCCUGGUAGUCCACGCCGUAAACGAUGAGUACUAGGUGUAGGAGGUAUCGACCCCUUCUGUGCCGCAGUUAACACAAUUAAGUACUCCGCCUGGGAAGUACGAUCGCAAGA